UCAAUAAGAUCAUAUAGAUGUCCAAAAAUAGCUUGUCGAGAAAUAACAAUUGUGACGCAAUCCAGCGAAAUGAGUCGGAAGUCGCAGUCGGUGAUUUUGAGCUGCAGGCCGAAAUAUGUGAAAUGCAUUGAAAUUUUCGAAAAAAUUUUUAUCACGCCGUUGGGUACUUAAACCUAUCUACUUUGAUCUCCCGAAGUCUCAAGUCAAGAUAUCAUCGAUAAAUAAUCUUAUUUUACCAUUUAUUAGGUCAACUCAAUAUAAAGAAAAGAAAAUUGAGAGAUAAAAAGGCAAAAAUCAACAAAACUCCAGCGUUACAUGCAACGGCAUUCAUUAGGGAAAUCCCCUUAAUCCGGGUAUCUACAUGACGCUUGGGAAUCCCUCUAACCUUAUAUGUAAAUAUAAAGACUAUAUUUAGACGUUAUCAUCCAAUUAGAAAGCACUAUCCGACAUAAACAAUCGUCUGCUGGGUCGAUGACCAAAUGAGCUCACGACCCGAAUUGAAAUGCGCUGAUUGGCUAAAAUCUCGCAGUACCGGGUUUGCGCAUGACAAAUGGUUAAUAAUAAUAAUGUCUUCGCUGUCAAAACCAACUUUCGCUUUUCUAAGUUUCGACAUUUCUUACAUUAAGUAAAAUACACCGUAAUUUUUUAGAAUAUUAAUAUGCAAUCGUGGUUUAUGUAAUAUAUGAACUUUGAGGUAUGGAAUUUUCUAAGGAGGCGAAUAUUGCCCGAUCAUUGAACUCUAAUCUGACAUCAUGUAAUCUGCACGAAGCGGUGGACAAAAAGGAAUUCCGUGAUCUAGUGACAGACUUUUUUAGUAUUGACGAUUGUGUGGCAUCGUCAGAUGAAUCAGUUACCAGUGAUGACGAAGAUAGUGUUAUUGUAGACAAACAUGAUUCUGAUUUUGAAUUUUCUUCAAACUUUGUUGAUAAAAACAAUGACACAAGUUCUUCUUGUGAUUCUGACAUCGACAUUGAAAAUGAAAAUGACGUGGGUGUUCAGCUAGGCCUACCUGUAAUUGAUGAAGUGGAAAAGGUAUUAUCCUCAACAGAAGUAAAUAAUACUGCUAUAUUAGAUGUAAAGGAUCUUGAAAUGAAAAAGAUUGAAGCAUAUAGCUGUAAGAACUGCAAACUUAAUAAUGGUGAACCCUGUUUUAUGUUAUUUAGCAAGGAUUUUGUUUAUGAAUUAAGACUGAUCAUGUCAUCGCUGUCUGAUUUUGAAAAGGACCUGAUUUUGCUUGGCAAAAUAAGUUGUGUUUUUAGGAAUGAUCCCUACACACAGUCAUCGAAGAAAAAGCAACAAAAGGAACAUAAACACCAGCGAACAGAACACUAUGUUAAUGGGAUUCAAGUUUCUUCACUGCAUAAGCCAGAACGAGCUUACAGCUCUAUUAAAACACUACAAAGAAUUUGGUUUAACACCACGCGAGAAGAAAUCUGGUGGUAGACAUGCUAGUGAUAAACGUUUGUUAACUCAUGAUGAUAUUUGUAGAGUGGUUACUUUCAUUAUUAACUUUGCUGAGCUUCAUGCUUUAGUGUUGCCGGGAAGAGUUCCAGGCUUUAAAAGAUUUGAUAUCAAGCUACUUCCAUCUCAUUACACAAAAUCAAAGGUGUUUUUGUCAUAUCAGACAGCAAUGAAAGAAAAGAAGCAGGCGAACGGGUAGUGAAUAUUGUGGGUUUUCGGAGGCUUUGGAAUACACUUGUGCCGUUUAUAGUCCGAACCAAGCCGAUGACAGAUCUUUGUUGGGUUUGUCAACAAAACAAUUCACUGAUUUAUAAGAGUGCUAACAUGUCAGAUCAGGAAAAGUCUGUGAGGUGUAAAACACAAGAAGAACACAUUCUGAAAGUGACACUUGAACGUUCUCUGUAUAAUUCUAUGGUACAGAAGGCAAAAGAUGUUUUGAAAAACAUAGGAGUAAAUGAACUUGAAACAACAAGUCCAGCAACACGAGAUAUAACAAUGCACUACUCGUUUGAUUUUGCACAGCAAGUGCAUUACCCUUCCAAUCCGCUUCAACCAGGCCCGAUGUAUUUUUUAACCCCUCGCAAGUGUGGGUUGUUUGGCAUUAAUUGUGAAGCUCUGCCGAGGCAGGUGAAUUAUUUAAUAGAUGAGGGAAUGUGCAUAACAAAGGGAUCAAAUGCAGUUAUAAGUUAUCUAGAUCACUUUUUUUGUAAUUAUGGUCUUGGAGAAAUGCAUCUCUAACUGCAUUGUGAUAACUGUUGCGGCCAAAAUAAAAACAAUGCUCUUUUGCAAUACUUGUUAUGGCGUGUAAUCCAUGGACUUCACAAGUCUAUUACACUUAACUUUCUGAUCAGUGGUUAUACAAAGUUUGCACCUGAUUGGGCCUUCGGACUAAUAAAGCAAACUUAUCGGAGAACUAUGGUUUCUUGUUUAGAUGAAAUUUCAGAAGUAGUCAAGACGAGCACUUCUACUGGAGUAAAUAAAGCUCAACUUGUUGGUCAUGAAAAUGGUGACAUCUUGGUACAACAAAGGGACUGGCAAUCCUUUUUGCAUCCUUACUUCCGUAGUCUACCCGGGAUAAAGAAAUAUCAACAUUUCAGAUUUGACAGUGAAAACCCAGGAUGGGUAUUUAAGAAGGAAUUUACUUCCUCUUUGGAAGUUGGAGUAUGUCUGCAGAAAGCAACAUUACUGCCGCCUGCAGACAGACCAGAGUCACUUGCCCCUCCAGGGUUGCCCUUAGAAAGGCAGCAAUACCUUUACAGAAACAUCAGAAAAUUCUGCACUUGUGAAACACAAGACAUCACCUGUCCAGUGCCAAGUGCAAACGAAUCAAAAUCAGACAAGAUGAAGAAAUUAUUGUGCCCCCUAGCAAGAUAAGAAAAUUUGAGGAGUAAUUAACUGGUGAGAUGUGUUUUUAUGAUUUGAACUUUUGUAUAUUUCAUUAUCAAUUUGAAACAUAAAACUGUACUGAUCGGAAAUAAUUUGACUAUGAUUAACAGUUUCCGGUUGGGACACUGUUGGUUUCCAUGACAACAACAACGAUUUUGAUUGUUAACUGAUUGGGAGUUUUGUACAUUAUUUCAUUAUCAAUUUGAACUGUAAAUUUGUAAUAAUCUGAACUAAUUUGAGUAUGAUUAACAGUGUCUUGUAGGGAUACUAUUGGUUUCCAUGGCAAGAACAACUGCGUUUUUUUUUAUUUGAACUUUUGUACAUUUCAUUAUCAACUUGAUUGACUUGAAUUGGAAAAUUGUAGUUAUCCAAAAUAAUUUGACUAUGAUUAACAGUGUCUCGUUGGGACACUAUUGGUUUCCAUGGCAAUAAUUUUGAUUGUUAAAGUAGCUAAGUCUCUAACUCAUUAUUAUCCAAAUUCUUCGACAUUGAAAAUACGAAUUUUUUUUCAAUUUAAAUCAACAUUGAUGCUGUGAUCUUACCAGGAAAAGGUGAGCUUCUGAUCUCCAAUAUUUAAGAAAAAAAUAUAUAUUUUACCAUUGGUACACGAAUCGUGUACCGUAAUGUGUUUCAGCAUCAUUUGUAAGAAGGCACUCGAUGAACGAGGCUAAACAUAUUCCACAAGUCAUGUAAAAUGGUGACGCUAUAUUCUUAUCUAGAGAGCAGCAUGCGCAAUGAAUACUAGGUCCCAAAUAUUAGCGAUUUAGCUCCUUUAACGGGUGACUUGUAUUUUUCUGAUUGGAACUUGAAUUUGAAAACUGCAGUAAUCCAAAAUAAUUUUACUAUGGAUAACAGUGUCUUGUUGGGACACUAUUUGUUUCCGUGGCAACAACAAUAAUUUGGAUAGUUAACUGGUGAUUAGAACUUUUGCACAUUUCAUUAUCAACUUGUAAUAAUCUGAAAUAAUUUGGCUAUCUUUAACAAUGUUUGUUCAGACACUAGUUGGUUUCCAUGGCAACAACAUUAAUUUUGAUUGUUAACCAAUGACUGUUUUCUGAUUGGAAGUUUUGUACAAUUGAUUAUCAAUUUGAACUGUAAAACUGUAUUAAUCUAAAAUGAUUUGACUGUUUAAAAGUGUCCUGUCGGGACACUAUUGGUUUCCAUGGCAACAACACUGAUUUUGAUAUUUAACUGAUUGGAAGAUUUGUACAUUUCAUUAUCAAUUUGAACUGUAAAUUUGUAAUAAUCUGAAGUAAUUUGAGUAUCAUUAACAGUGUCUUGUAAGGAUACUAUUGGUUUCCAUGGCAACAACAAUAGUUUUGAUUGUUAACUGGUAACUGUAUUAUUUUGAUUUGAACUUUUUACAAUGAGUUUGGAUUGUAAUUUGUAUUAAUUAAUGAUUUGACUAUGUUUAAAAGUGUCCUGUUGGGACACUAUUGGUUUCCAUGGCAACAACAAUGAUUUCGAUAUAUUAAACUGAUUGGAAGAUUUGUACAUUUCAUUAUUAAUUUGAACUGUAAAUAUGUAAUAAUCUGAAGUAAUUUGAGUAUCAUUAACAGUGUCUUGUAAGGAUACUAUUGGUUUCCAUGGCAACAACAAUAGUUUUGAUUGUUAACUGUAUUAUUUUGAUUUGAACUUUUUACAAUGAGUUUGGAUUGUAAUUUGUAUUAAUUAGCUGUGAUUAACAGUAUCUUGUUUGGACACUUAUGGUUUCCAUGGCAACCACAAUAAUUAAAACUUUUGUGCACUUAUGGUUUCCAUGGCAACCACAAUAAUUAAAACUUUUGUGCAUGUCAUUAUUAACUUGAAUUGUAAAAUUUAUCUUGUAUAUCAGUAUCUGUGUAAAUAUUUCAUAAUCAGUUGUUAAUUUUAGAUUGAUUUGAAAUCAAUAUCAUGUUUCAGCAUAUUCAGUAUCAGUUGUCAAGGCAACCAUCAUUUUCAUGUUUGAAUAAUAAAA
This is a long non-coding RNA of Patella vulgata (common limpet), 4804 nucleotides long. RefSeq lists it as uncharacterized. The record is from RefSeq and is a predicted model, not a curated record. The transcript is spliced from 4 exons. NCBI's taxonomy places the organism in Eukaryota, Metazoa, Mollusca, Gastropoda, Patellidae.